UACGUAGGCAGCAAGCGUUGUCCGGAAUUACUGGGCGUAAAGAGCUCGUAGGUGGUUUGUCGCGUUGUUCGUGAAAACUCACAACUCAAUUGUGGGCGUGCGGGCGAUACGGGCAGACUGGAGUACUGCAGGGGAGACUGGAAUUCCUGGUGUAGCGGUGGAAUGCGCAGAUAUCAGGAGGAACACCGGUGGCGAAGGCGGGUCUCUGGGCAGUAACUGACGCUGAGGAGCGAAAGCGUGGGGAGCGAACAGG
Molecule: ribosomal RNA, 253 nt
Filed under: uncultured bacterium
Lineage: Bacteria
Description: partial 16S ribosomal RNA
Rfam family: Bacterial small subunit ribosomal RNA
Source: RNAcentral